RNA transcript from Carassius gibelio (silver crucian carp), 2813 nucleotides. It is a transcript of the gene named RIC8 guanine nucleotide exchange factor B, with no coding region annotated. Lineage: Eukaryota; Metazoa; Chordata; Actinopteri; Cypriniformes; Cyprinidae. The transcript has 11 exons. The record is from RefSeq and is a predicted model, not a curated record.
CACCAUAAAUCGUCCACUUAGAUAUGGCCUGGUAAAUUUGGAAACCAUCCAGGCAGGUUUGACGAAAUAUUUGCCAUGUACCUGAGGGACUCUUAAAAAAGCGUGUUGUCGAGAAACGUGACGUUUGACGGGUGAAAGUUGAACAGAUGAGAGAAACCGAGGAGGUGUGUGUAACUCUCAUCCUUACUGUUGUUAUAAGAAGAAGGGCUGUUGCCUGCCAGUCUUUGUAAGUGGACGGCAAAAGCAACAUUCAGAGAUGAGUUUGACUGCUAUUCUGUCAGAGAUCGACGGUGGAGAUGACAAAGGAGUUGGAAAGCUUUUGCAGAAGUUUAACAUAGAGAACCGCCACACGUUUGCCUUUGACCACAAAGAGGAAGAUGCACGAAUUAAAUUGUGUCAGGGUCUUCUUACAGUCCUUCGUCGGUCAGAUCAUCCACUUUGCCAAAGCACCUGCCUGGAGACCCUGCGCAUCCUGUCGAGAGACAAGCGUGUACUUGGACCCGUAGCCACCAAAGAGGGCAUCCUUACUCUAGCAGGACUGGCACGGAUCCAUGUGGCGGGACAUGACGGAGAGCCGCUAGAGGAAGCACAGUCAGCAGAGGAGGAGAGGGUUGUAGUGGAGGCCCUCAAGUGCCUGUGCAAUGUAGUGUUUAACAGCGUGCCGGCACAGCAGGUGGGUGCUGAUGUGAAGUUGGCAGAGGGUCUGUGUGCCCGCUUGCCUUCGGUCAGCUCGUCCCAUCAUGAGGUGGGACUUUUCUCCCUCCGGCUGCUGUUUCUGCUUUCCGCCCUGCGGCCGGAUGUGCGUGGUAUGCUUCAGAAGGAGGCGGGUGCAGUGAGGUUGCUCACUGACAUACUGGAACGCACCCUUGACGUCUGUUGGGUGGGGCCAUAUGAGGCCGCACCACCUAAACCAGAAGCCCUGCCCAUUUCCUCAGAAAACAAUGAGCUUGCCAUGGAAGCCCUUAAAGCUCUGUUUAACAUUACUAUGUCUGAUUCCAGUGAUGAGGACAGUGACCACCAGCUUCGGCUGAUUGCAGGCAUCAUGAGACAUCUCCUAAUGCUCAAGACACACACUGACGAUAAAACUGAGGAGGCUCACAGUCAUACCAUAAAUCUCCUGAGUAACCUUCCCGUGCGAUGCCUGGAUGUUCUAAUAGACGUCCCUGUCCAAGGAGGGAUUGAAAUGUAUGGUGGGAAGAACAUGGACGUAGUGCAGAUACUUCUAGAUUUUAUGGAGAGGAGGAUAGACAAGGGGACCAACUAUAAAGAAGGCUUGACACCUGUGCUGAGUCUGAUGACAGAGAGCUCUAGAUACCACAGGGAGAUCCGCAGAUACCUCAAGACCCAGGUGCUGCCUCCCCUGAAGGAUGUGAAGGAAAGGCCGGAAAUCGGUUGCACAGUUCGAAACAAACUGGUGCGUCUCAUGACACAUGUAGACAUGGCAGUGAAACAGGGGGCCGCUGAGUUUCUCUUUGUGCUCUGCAAGGAGAGCGUGGAUAAUCUGUUGAAGUACACUGGUUAUGGUAAUGCUGCGGGACUGUUGAUGGCACGAGGGUUGCUGGCCGGAGGCAGAGGAGAGACACAGUACUCAUCUGAUGAAGAUUCUGACACUGAGGAGUACAAAUCAGCCAAACCAUUUAUCAACCCCAUCACAGGUCACAUAGAGCUCCCAAUUCCAAAUCCUAUGGAGGAGAUGACAGAGGAGCAGAAGGAAUAUGAAGCUCAGAAGCUUGUCAAAAUGAUUGAUGAAUUAUCAAGGAAGGAACUGAUCAGACCAAUGGGAGUGAGGAAGGAUGGCACUCUAGCUCCCCUAGGAGAAGCCAUCCAUCAAUGCAGCACUCCACCUAGCAUUGACUCCGACUCAGACUAGCAGGAGUUUAGUUCACUCAAAUAAAUCCUCUAGGCACCACUGCUGCCAGCUGAUCACAAGUCUUACCGACUGUCCCUUGCACGGGGGAUAGUUCAGUUAUUUCCUACUAAAGGUUCUUUUGUCGCAUGAGGGCAUGUCUUUCUAAUUGAGACAUGAAUGGUGAACUAUAGAGUGAGCAGAGAGAGAGAGGAAGCAGAAAUGUUUAAAUAGAUAUAAGGUUGUCACCGGACUCCAUAUAUGUUCACAGUGACUGUAUAAGAUGGAACUGUUAAGUAGGAAGUUACACAGCAUAUUCACGUGUCUCUGUGCACAAGUAAAUGCACCUGGUCUUCAUUAAUGAAGUAUAAAGGCUUAAUGACAUUUACCCUUAAGAAAAGCUGUUCAUUUAGGUUUGUAUUUAUUAAGCAGUCUGGGGCUGUUGCUGGUUCACAGUUGGAAGAAACCUGUUCCAUGUUUCAAAAUACUUCAGUGUCUUUUGAAAUGUUAUGCCACGACAAGCCAUGAUAUCACUUGUGCUAAAAAAAAAAAAAGUCUUGCACUUUGUUUUUGCAAAAUGUGCAUUGCAUUUUUUCCCACCAUUUUAUGCCUGGAGUUUUAAAUUUGUGUAUUUUCUAAUGUUCUAUAUUAUUUUUAGCUACCCAAUUUUCUAUACAUUGUUUUUUUGUUUUCUUUCAAUGUUAUUAGGGGUGGCAUGUUCUUUUUUUCUAAUGAUUUUUAGGUUUUUACACAAAACAAUGUAAUUAAAUUCAGGUUUUCUAAGGAUUUCUGGUUACUAUCUUUGAUUUAAAAGCUUGUGAAUAUUUCACAAGGCCCAGUACUCCUCUUCUAUAACCACUGUAAAAUCCGAAGAAAUGGGCUUGGUUUUAAAAAUUUAAAAAAAAAAAAAUCAGGAAAUUAAUUUUUUUUCAUUUCAAACGUUUGCAAUAAAUUAAAAAGAAAACUA